AUACUUUUGCAAGCCAUUGUAAGUACACAGAGAGACAAUGAGGGGAUGAGGAACAGCUGGGACAAAUCAGACCUAACAAGACAAGGGGAAACAAAACUAGACUCACUGCAUAUAGGACAAGGACUUUCACAAUAAAACAGACAUCACAAGGGUAAUCUAAUAAACAAAUGAACUUAGCUAACCUAAAGAACUUAUAAAUAAACAUCGACAUCCAAACAAACUAAAACUUAAAAUGCUGGGUCAACAGACCCAGGAAAGUGACAGUAAAAUCAUUUAUUAUACACAUUAUACUUAUUUUCUUAAAUUGCUUAUCUAUUAUCUGUAUUUUCACCUGAGGGUCUAAGGGUGCUGCUCUUCUUUUCAUGACAAAUUAGGACAUGUUUAUGAUAACACACUGACAAUAUCAGGCCAAUUUUGGCAUUACUCCAUCAGUGAACAGCAUGCCCAUGCUAACUUAAACUAGACCAGCAAGCUAACCACAUGUGUAUUAAGUGUUACUUAAGAAUAGGAACCAAACAAAUUAACGGAACGAAAUUAACUGUAACAGCAGUUUGCAAAACACUGUGACACUUCUCAAGUGUUCCUACCUCAAAUACAGCGAGUGUUGCUGUGUUUUUGUUGUUAAAUGGACGAGGAGAGCCCGUGGCUGGUGAGAGGAUGCGGCAUUUCGUCAGUGGAACAUAGAACGACGUCUGUGAUUGGUCAACACGUGAGUAACGCUGCAUCUGAUUGUUCGAAAGCCUCAACCAAAGAUCUGCUGGUCACGGCAAGAUACAAACUCGCCGGAGCUCUGAGUGAACGGCACAUCCGGGACCUUCAGCACUCAGCAGAGAUUUGUCUUGACGUAUGUAUUUACCUUUGAUAUCCAUGACUCGACGCACAUUUAGCAAGAAUCAUUUGUGCCAGCUACUUCCCUGCUCUCCUUCCAUCCUGUCUCAACCUCCAACAGGAAAGUAGAAGUCCUCAUAUGACACCAAGUGCUGAGGUCCUGUCUCAGCCUCAUACAGACCAAUUGACACCAAGUGCUGAGGUCCUGUCUCAGCCUCAAACAGACCAAUUGACACCAAGUGCUGAGGUCCUGUCUCAGCCUCAUACAGACCAAUUGACACCAAGUGCUGAGGUCCUGUCUCAGCCUCAUACAGACCAAUUGCUGGGAAGGUGAGAAGCAAGUGGACAAAUGAUGAAGUAAAGGUUGCUGCAAAGUACCAGGUAAAAAGGAAUGUGACUGCUGCUUCCAAGCAGAGCCGGCAGCUCUGAAAGGCAGAGACUGGGUUGCCAUAAAGUACUACAUCCACAACAGGAUCAUAGCAUUAAAAGAAAGAUGCAAGGAAAAAAAGAAACAACCAAGAGAGAUACUUUGUUGCUUCCACAGUUAUGUCAGUAUUGUAGUUUUCUGUAUUGCAUUGUUCUUACUCAUAAAUCUGUGGUUUAUGCUGGGUGCUUUUUGCAAUUAAAUGAUAAGAAAGGCAGAUAAUGUUCCACGUUUUUAUUCACAUGAACAUUCACUACAAAAUGAAUUAAUGCAUUACAAUAAUAAGACGACUUAAAAAGUAGACUGACCACAUUUGACCUAUGUCUUUUUUUAAGUCUCUACACAGCUCAUAUUUACUGUUUUAUUAACACAUAAAUGUCUGAUAUUUCUGUCAGAAGUUACCCGACUGGUGAGCAUCCAUGCCUAUUAUAUUGUAAUCUCAAAAGGAGCCAAGCUAAAAAUACAGAACCUACCCUUACCUGGUCCUUAUAAGUCAUGUAUACUUGAAAAUUAUGUGUUUCCAUGGGCUUCACAAUUCACCUAAACAUGAAAUAUCAGUGUGUGACCUUAUGGUACUCAUAACUCACAUAAACCUGACAGUGUCCUCACAAGUAGCAUUAAAUUCAGGUUUGACCAAAAUUUCACCCUAGCCAAAAUCUCAACAGAUGGGCGUGUUCCUGGAAGCAUGGGUCAAACUUUGUGUGAUUCCCAUGCCUCUAGGACCUUCAGAAAGGCACGUUCCCAUUUGUCACAUUUUUGUCAUAGGUCCUGAUAUUUCAUGAAAACACGUAUGUGUGUGUG
Molecule: long non-coding RNA, 2053 nt
Organism: Oreochromis niloticus (Nile tilapia)
Lineage: Eukaryota; Metazoa; Chordata; Actinopteri; Cichliformes; Cichlidae
Exons: 7
Source: RefSeq, a predicted model, not a curated record